AAUAUCAGGAGGAACACCGAUGGCGAAGGCAGGUCUCUGGGCCACUACUGACGCUGAGAAGCGAAAGCAUGGGGAGCGAACAGGAUUAGAUACCCUGGUAGUCCAUGCCGUAAACGUUGGGCGCUAGGUGUGGGACUCAUUCCACGAGUUCCGUGCCGCAGCUAACGCAUUAAGCGCCCCGCCUGGGGAGUACGGCCGCAAGGCUAAAACUCAAAGGAAUUGACGGGGGCCCGCACAAGCGGCGGAGCAUGCGGAUUAAUUCGAUGCAACGCGAAGAACCUUACCAAGGCUUGACAUAUACCGGAAACUUCCAGAGAUGGUUGCCCCCUUUGGGUCGGUAUACAGGUGGUGCAUGGUUGUCGUCAGCUCGUGUCGUGAGAUGUUGGGUUAAGUCCCGCAACGAGCGCAACCCUUGUUCUAUGUUGCCAGCACGUGAUGGUGGGGACUCAUGGAAGACUGCCGGGGUCAACUCGGAGGAAGGUGGGGAUGACGUCAAAUCAUCAUGCCCCUUAUGUCUUGGGCUUCACGCAUGCUACAAUGGCCGGUACAAAGGGCUGCGAUGCCGUAAGGUGGAGCGAAUCCCAAAAAACCGGUCUCAGUUCGGAUUGGGGUCUGCAACUCGACCCCAUGAAGUCGGAGUCGCUAGUAAUCGCAGAUCAGCAACGCUGCGGUGAAUACGUUCCCGGGCCUUGUACACACCGCCCGUCAAGUCACGAAAGUCGGUAACACCCGAAGCCGGUGGCCCAACCCUUGUGGGGGGAGCCGUCGAAGGUGGGACUGGCGAUUG
RNAcentral lists this ribosomal RNA (787 nucleotides) under Janibacter terrae. RNAcentral describes it as "bacterial SSU rRNA". It matches the Rfam family "Bacterial small subunit ribosomal RNA", at positions 693 to 1477 of the family's 1533-position model. The record is from RNAcentral. Lineage: Bacteria; Bacillati; Actinomycetota; Actinomycetes; Micrococcales; Intrasporangiaceae.